GGUUCGCCGCCCGCGACUCUGCGAGAAGUCCAUUGAACCUUAUCAUUUAGAGGAAGGAGAAGUCGUAACAAGGUUUCCGUAGGUGAACCUGCGGAAGGAUCAUUGUCGAGACCAAAAGAGAUGGGAGAUUCAGAGAACUCAUGAACUAAGCGGUGACAGUCACUGUCACGAAACAAACAUUCAGUCAUCGCACGAUCUCCUUCGGGAGCCACGGCGAAGGCUGGAUGAAACCCGAGCUAGCGCAUUUUCGCGCCAAGGCAAUGUGCAAAACACGAGCCCCAACAGGUUUGGUGGCAUUGAUUAUAUGACUCUCGGCAACGGAUAUCUCGGCUCUCGCAUCGAUGAAGAGCGCAGCGAAAUGCGAUACGUGGUGCGAAUUGCAGAAUCCCGUGAACCAUCAAGUCUUUGAACGCAAGUUGCGCCCGAGGCCAAUCGGCUAAGGGCACGUCCGCCUGGGCGUCAAGCGUUGCAUCGCUUCGUGCCGCCACCACACACCAAUGUGCGUGGUCGUGCGGGCUCGAAUGCGAAGAGUGGUCCGCCGUGCUCAUCGGUGCGGCGGAUUGAAGAGCGGGUUGUCGUCCUCAUGGCCACGAUCGACAAGGGGUGGACGGAAGCCACGAGCACGGCCAAACAGUGUCUCACGCUGGCCUGAGGACGAUCAUACAUCCCCAGCGAACCCAAAUCCACACGCCGCGCAGCAAGCGGCGAUUUGGAAUGCGACCCCAGGAUGGGCGGGGCCACCCGCCGAGUUUAAGCAUAUCAAUAAGCGGAGGAGAAGAAACUUAAGAGGAUU
This 793-nucleotide ribosomal RNA is filed under the name Cephalanthera damasonium. RNAcentral describes it as "eukaryotic LSU rRNA". The stretch from base 307 to 462 matches the Rfam family "5.8S ribosomal RNA". The record is from RNAcentral. Lineage: Eukaryota; Viridiplantae; Streptophyta; Magnoliopsida; Asparagales; Orchidaceae.